RNAcentral lists this ribosomal RNA (468 nucleotides) under uncultured bacterium. Its description in RNAcentral is "partial 16S ribosomal RNA". It matches the Rfam family "Bacterial small subunit ribosomal RNA", at positions 28 to 507 of the family's 1533-position model. The record is from RNAcentral.
GAUGAACGCUGGCGGCGUGCUUAACACAUGCAAGUCGAACGGAAAGGCCCAAGCUUGCUUGGGUCCUCGAGUGGCGAACGGGUGAGUAACACGUGGGUGAUCUGCCCUGCACUUCGGGAUAAGCCUGGGAAACUGGGUCUAAUACCGGAUAGGACGAUGGUUUGGAUGCCAUUGUGGAAAGUUUUUUCGGUGUGGGAUGAGCUCGCGGCCUAUCAGCUUGUUGGUGGGGUGAUGGCCUACCAAGGCGUCGACGGGUCGCCGGCCUGAGAGAGUGGACGGCGACAUUGGGAAUGAGAUACGACACAGACUCCUACGGGAGGCAGCAGUGGGGAGUAUUGCACAAUGGGCGCAAGGCUGAUGCAGCGACGCCGCGUGGGGGAUGACGGCCUACGGGUUGUAAGCUCCUUUCGCUGGGGACGAGGCAUGUUUGUGACGGUACCUGGAGAAGAAGCACCGGCUAACUACGUG